AGACAGCAGUAGCCACGGGAAUACGAAGGGUGCAAGCGUUACUCGGAAUUACUGGGCGUAAAGCGUGCGUAGGUGGUGGUUUAAGUCCGUUGUGAAAGCCCUGGGCUCAACCUGGGAAUUGCAGUGGAUACUGGGUCACUAGAGUGUGGUAGAGGAUAGUGGAAUUUCCGGUGUAGCAGUGAAAUGCGUAGAGAUCGGAAGGAACAUCUGUGGCGAAGGCGACUAUCUGGGCCAACACUGACACUGAGGCACGAAAGCGUGGGGAGCAAACAGGAUUAGAUACCCGAGUAGUCCCUGUCUCUUAUAC
Molecule: ribosomal RNA, 307 nt
Filed under: uncultured bacterium
Lineage: Bacteria
Description: partial 16S ribosomal RNA
Rfam family: Bacterial small subunit ribosomal RNA
Source: RNAcentral